This is a small nucleolar RNA of Trichoplusia ni (cabbage looper), 198 nucleotides long. RefSeq annotates it as small nucleolar RNA U3. The record is from RefSeq and is a predicted model, not a curated record. NCBI's taxonomy places the organism in Eukaryota, Metazoa, Arthropoda, Insecta, Lepidoptera, Noctuidae. The transcript has a single exon.
AAGACCUUACUUCAUAGGAUCAUUUCUAUAGUAAGCUCUUCUCGAGACUUUCACACUGUGUGAGUCCUCACUAGUCACGAUGAUGAGGAGUGGCGCGGUACCCUGAGCGUGAGGCGGGCGAAGUGUCGUCUUCUUUCAGCCCUCGAUGAUCGUUCACUCCCUGAGGGGAGAGUGGGGUACUGUCGCUUUCUGAGUGGC